AAACUGAGGAUAAUACCGGAUAGGCAAUUAUUCCUGGAAUGGUUUUUUGUUUAAAUGUUUUUUCGCCUAAGGAUGGGUCUGCGGCCGAUUAGGUAGUUGGUUAGGUAACGGCUUACCAAGCCAUUGAUCGGUACGGGUUGUGAGAGCAAGAGCCCGGAGAUGGAACCUGAGACAAGGUUCCAGGCCCUACGGGGUGCAGCAGGCGCGAAACCUCCGCAAUGUGAGAAAUCGCGACGGGGGGAUCCCGAGUGCCAUUCUUAACGGGAUGGCUUUUCAUUAGUGUAAAGAGCUUUUGGAAUAAGGGCUGGGCAAGACCGGUGCCAGCCGCCGCGGUAACACCGGCAGCUCUAGUGGUAGCAGUUUUUAUUGGGCCUAAAGCGUCCGUAGCCGGUUUAAUAAGUCUCUGGUGAAAUCCUGUAGCUUAACUGUGGGAAUUGCUGGAGAUACUAUUAGACUUGAGACCGGGAGAGGUUAGAGGUACUCCCAGGGUAGAGGUGAAAUUCUGUAAUCCUGGGAGGACCGCCUGUUGCGAAGGCGUCUAACUGGAACGGUUCUGACGGUGAGGGACGAAAGUUAGGGGCGCGAACCGGAUUAGAUACCCGGGUAGUCCUAACCGUAAACGAUGCGGACUUGGUGUUGGGGUGGCUUUGAGCUGCUCCAGUGCCGAAGGGAAGCUGUUAAGUCCGCCGCCUGGGAAGUACGGUCGCAAGACUGAAACUUAA
Molecule: ribosomal RNA, 722 nt
Filed under: uncultured archaeon
Lineage: Archaea
Description: bacterial SSU rRNA
Rfam family: Archaeal small subunit ribosomal RNA
Source: RNAcentral